UCUUGAUGAUGACACCACUUGAAACUGAACAGCUGCUAUUUCAGUUGUUCCACUGAUGUGAUUUUCAAGACGGGACUGAUUGCAAGACAU
This 90-nucleotide small nucleolar RNA is filed under the name Danio rerio (zebrafish). RNAcentral describes it as "Small nucleolar RNA SNORD21 (ENSDARG00000082607.2)". Lineage: Eukaryota; Metazoa; Chordata; Actinopteri; Cypriniformes; Danionidae. The record is from RNAcentral.